This is a long non-coding RNA of Haliotis rufescens (red abalone), 263 nucleotides long. RefSeq lists it as uncharacterized. The record is from RefSeq and is a predicted model, not a curated record. NCBI's taxonomy places the organism in Eukaryota, Metazoa, Mollusca, Gastropoda, Lepetellida, Haliotidae. The transcript has 3 exons.
UUCUCUUCUGGGACACAUACCAGAAUGUUGCGUUCUGUAUUGUGUAUCAUCGGGAUUUCCAUAAUAUGUGCCACUGCCGUCACCACCCCUCUGAGGCUACUUGGUACCCGCCCAUCAACUGGUAUACUUCAAGCAUAUCAUGACAAACAGUGGGAGUAUGUGUGUUAUACCGGCUACACCUCUGCUGAUAGGUUGGGCUCGGUUGCGUGCAGGAUGCUGGGUUUUCAGGCAGAAGGGUCCCACAUAACGAAUGUAGAUUUGGC